CUGGCUCAGGAUGAACGCUGACAGAAUGCUUAACACAUGCAAGUCGAUUCGAUUUACCUUCGGGUAUUGAGGAUGGCGGACGGGUGAGUAACGCGUAAGGAACUUGCCUCUUGGUCUGGGACAACUGUUGGAAACGACAGCUAAUACCGGAUAUUAUGAGAUUCUCGCAUGGGAAACUUAUGAAAGCUAUAUGCGCCAAGAGAGAGCCUUGCGUUCCAUUAGCUAGUUGGUGGGGUAACGGCCCACCAAGGCGACGAUGGAUAGCCGGCCUGAGAGGGUGAACGGCCACAAGGGGACUGAGACACGGCCCUUACUCCUACGGGAGGCAGCAGUGGGGAAUAUUGGACAAUGGGCCACAAGCCUGAUCCAGCAAUUCUGUGUGCACGAUGAAGGUCUUCGGAUUGUAAAGUGCUUUCAGUUGGGAAGAAGAAAGUGACGGUACCAACAGAAGAAGCGACGGCUAAAUACGUGCCAGCAGCCGCGGU
Molecule: ribosomal RNA, 485 nt
Filed under: anaerobic bacterium G28
Lineage: Bacteria
Description: bacterial SSU rRNA
Rfam family: Bacterial small subunit ribosomal RNA
Source: RNAcentral